This 500-nucleotide ribosomal RNA is filed under the name uncultured bacterium. RNAcentral's name for it is "partial 16S ribosomal RNA". It matches the Rfam family "Bacterial small subunit ribosomal RNA", at positions 28 to 523 of the family's 1533-position model. The record is from RNAcentral.
GACGAACGCUGGCGGCGUGCUUAACACAUGCAAGUCGAACGGCAGCACGGACUUCGGUCUGGUGGCGAGUGGCGAACGGGUGAGUAAUGUAUCGGAACGUGCCCAGUAGCGGGGGAUAACUACUCGAAAGAGUAGCUAAUACCGCAUACGCCCUACGGGGGAAAGGGGGGGAUCGCAAGACCUCUCACUAUUGGAGCGGCCGAUAUCGGAUUAGCUAGUUGGUGGGGUAAAGGCCCACCAAGGCGACGAUCCGUAGCUGGUUUGAGAGGACGACCAGCCACACUGGGACUGAGACACGGCCCAGACUCCGACGGGAGGCAGCAGUGGGGAAUUUUGGACAAUGGGGGCAACCCUGAUCCAGCCAUCCCGCGUGUGCGAUGAAGGCCUUCGGGUUGUAAAGCACUUUUGGCAGGAAAGAAAUCGCAUGGGUUAAUACCCUGUGUGGAUGACGGUACCUGCAGAAUAAGCACCGGCUAACUACGUGCCAGCCGCCGCCGUAA